Molecule: ribosomal RNA, 497 nt
Filed under: uncultured bacterium
Lineage: Bacteria
Description: partial 16S ribosomal RNA
Rfam family: Bacterial small subunit ribosomal RNA
Source: RNAcentral
GACGAACGCUGGCGGCGUGCCUAAUACAUGCAAGUAGAACGCUGAAGAGAGGAUCUUGCUCUUCUUUGAUGAGUUGCGAACGGGUGAGUAACGCGUAGGUAACCUGCCUUGUAGCGGGGGAUAACUAUUGGAAACGAUAGCUAAUACCGCAUAACAAUGGAUGACACAUGUCAUUUAUUUGAAAGGGGCAAUUUCUCCACUACAAGAUGGACCUGCGUUGUAUUAGCUAGUAGGUUUGGUAGCGGCUCACCUAGGCGACGAUACAUAGCCGACCUGCGAGGGUGAUCGGCCGCACUGGCACUGAGACACGGCCCAGCCUCCCACGGGAGGCAGCAGUAGGGAAUCUUCGGCAAUGGGGGCAACCCUGACCGAGCAACGCCGCGUGAGUGAAGAAGGUUUUCGGAUCGUAAAGCUCUGUUGUAAGUCAAGAACGAGUGUGAGAGUGGAAAGUUUACACUGUGACGGUAGCUUACCAGAAAGGGACGGCUAACUACGUG